UACGUAGGGUGCAAGCGUUGUCCGGAAUUAUUUGGCGUAAAGAGCUCGUAGGCGGUUUGUCGCGUCUGCUGUGAAAACUCGGGGCUUAACCCUGGGCCUGCAGUGGGUACGGGCAGACUAGAGUGCGGUAGGGGAGACUGGAAUUCCUGGUGUAGCGGUGAAAUGCGCAGAUAUCAGGAGGAACACCGGUGGCGAAGGCGGGUCUCUGGGCCGAUACUGACGCUGAGGAGCGAAAGCGUGGGGAGCGAACAGG
This 253-nucleotide ribosomal RNA is filed under the name uncultured bacterium. Its description in RNAcentral is "partial 16S ribosomal RNA". It matches the Rfam family "Bacterial small subunit ribosomal RNA", at positions 524 to 776 of the family's 1533-position model. The record is from RNAcentral.